AGCUUUUUAAUUGCUUUAAAAUCACUAUUUUCUACUUCCAGUUUAUGUGAUUCCUAAGCACUCUCAUUGAUUGGAUACUUGGAAAGGAAAAAUAUAUAGCGAAUUAUAUUGGUCGCUUGACUUUUAUAUCCUUAGGUUCAUGUAUUUAGAAUUUGUUACUCCCUUUUGAUGAUGACAAAAGGGGGAGAAAAUAUACGGUACAAAACUUUCCUUGCACAUGUUAUAGAUAAAAUGCAUGAAGGCAGGGGAGCAUGACUAUGGAACCCUUAGAGUAAGGGGGAGCAUUUACCUUCCAUGGAAGAGUAAGAUCGAUAUAAGCGGGACAUUUCAGGAAAGUAACUAGUCUAUCUAGCUUAUUACUUUAGAUGCACUUUAAUUAAGUUUUUGAUGCAAUCUUCAUGUUUUGUACUCAAUGGUUUGCCAUCAAUAAAAAUGGGAGAUUGUUAUCCCCAAGGUUUCACAUAUUGAUUUUGAUAAUACCAAACCAACAUAACUUUUAGUAAAAGAAUAUUUACUUGUGGUAAAUUAUUUUUGUACAGGUUUUCUAAAAGAAGAAUGAUCAAAGACGAUAUAUAAAAGAUUUGCAGAAGAAAGAAGGAGAUACGAAAGAUGUUAUAAAGAAGGAAAGUCCCAAGCUAAUGGCUAUGAUAUAGAAGCAUACUAUGGUAAAAGAUUGUGAAAGAGAAGCAG
This 690-nucleotide long non-coding RNA is filed under the name Nicotiana tabacum (common tobacco). RNAcentral's name for it is "long non-coding RNA (NTAB_LNC017506)". The record is from RNAcentral. Lineage: Eukaryota; Viridiplantae; Streptophyta; Magnoliopsida; Solanales; Solanaceae.